GCCAGGGACAGCUCUGCAGUUGCAGAAUCCUUUUUAUUUUAAUUCUUUUUUUUUUUUUUUCCCCCAGCUAUACAGAGAACUUCUGGCACUGGAACAGUCAGAAGAGAAGAAAACAUGCUGAUAUGAUUUAACUUCAGUCAUAACUCAUGCACCCAAAAUGUAACAAAACGAACAACGCCAAGAACAAACUAGCAGCUAUUGAUAAAAUUUGAAGGGAGUCUGAUGCAGUUCCAGAGGCAGGAAGCCAUGGGAUCAAAGGGAAUUAGGAUCUUCCCUGUAGUGACUGAAGUCACCAGGCUCAUGAAGAGAGACUAAAAGAAGAUGUAUGGGGACUCUCCUGUCUUUGUGGAGAAGAGCAAUGUGCUCUACAAAGCUGGGUGAACAGCCUACCCCAUCAGCACAGGAAAACCUGGGCUGGGAAGAGAAAUCCAAGCAGAAAAUUGCUUCAGCCAUGGCUGGCCUCAGAAGGUUAAUCACAGAGGCACAGGAGAAAUAUGGGCAAGAUCAAGUGGAAAUCUGAGGAGGUGGAUGCUGAACACACAGAUAAAAUCUCUGUACUACAUGUAAUCCUGUCUUUUCUCUGAUUUGCCUAGGAAUCAUCUUGCAGUGCCCCUCUGGUGGCGGCUAUGCCACAUGGAAGUGCUCAUGUUCAGCUGGUUCGUGUAAUUCAUCCUUCACUGUCUGUGUUAUUUCGCUUGUAGUUUUGUGUAAGACCAAUUUAAAAAUAAACAUAAGCCUUGCAGAC
RNAcentral lists this long non-coding RNA (745 nucleotides) under Melopsittacus undulatus (budgerigar). Its description in RNAcentral is "lncRNA (ENSMUNG00000003208.2)". The record is from RNAcentral. Lineage: Eukaryota; Metazoa; Chordata; Aves; Psittaciformes; Psittaculidae.